AGUGAACGCUGGCGGUAGGCCUAACACAUGCAAGUCGAACGGCAGCACAGUAAGAGCUUGCUCUUACGGGUGGCGAGUGGCGGACGGGUGAGGAAUACAUCGGAAUCUACUUUUUCGUGGGGGAUAACGUAGGGAAACUUACGCUAAUACCGCAUACGACCUACGGGUGAAAGCAGGGGAUCUUCGGACCUUGCGCGAUUGAAUGAGCCGAUGUCGGAUUAGCUAGUUGGCGGGGUAAAGGCCCACCAAGGCGACGAUCCGUAGCUGGUCUGAGAGGAUGGUCAGCCACACUGGAACUGAGACACCGUCCAGACUCCUACGGGAGGCAGCAGUGGGGAAUAUUGGACAAUGGGCGCAAGCCUGAUCCAGCCAUACCGCGUGGGUGAAGAAGGCCUUCGGGUUGUAAAGCCCUUUUGUUGGGAAAGAAAAGCAGCAGGUUAAUACCCCGCUGUUCUGACGGUACCCAAAGAAUAAGCACCGGCUAACUUCGUG
RNAcentral lists this ribosomal RNA (492 nucleotides) under uncultured bacterium. RNAcentral describes it as "partial 16S ribosomal RNA". It matches the Rfam family "Bacterial small subunit ribosomal RNA", at positions 29 to 507 of the family's 1533-position model. The record is from RNAcentral.